CCUACGGGGGGCAGCAGUGAGGAAUAUUGGUCAAUGGGCUUACGCCUGAACCAGCCAAGUCGCGUGAGGGAAGACUGCCCUAUGGGUUGUAAACCUCUUUUGUCAGGGAGCAAUUGGCGCUACGUGUAGCGUUAUCGAGAGUACCUGAAGAAAAAGCAUCGGCUAACUCCGUGCCAGCAGCCGCGGUAAUACGGAGGAUGCGAGCGUUAUCCGGAUUUAUUGGGUUUAAAGGGUGCGUAGGCGGAUUUUUAAGUCAGCGGUAAAAUGUCCGGGCUCAACCCGGGCCGGCCGUUGAAACUGGGGAUCUUGAGUGGGCGAGAAGUAUGCGGAAUGCGUGGUGUAGCGGUGAAAUGCAUAGAUAUCACGCAGAACUCCGAUUGCGAAGGCAAGUGUCCGGGGUGCAACUGACGCUGAGGCUCGAAAGUGCGGGUAUCAAACAGGAUUAGAUACCCUUGUAGUC
RNAcentral lists this ribosomal RNA (460 nucleotides) under uncultured bacterium. RNAcentral describes it as "partial 16S ribosomal RNA". It matches the Rfam family "Bacterial small subunit ribosomal RNA", at positions 338 to 795 of the family's 1533-position model. The record is from RNAcentral.